CAGCCGCCGCGGUAAUACGUAGGGUGCGAGCGUUAAUCGGAUUUACUGGGCGUAAAGCGUGCGCAGGCGGCCCGUUAAGACAGGUGUGAAAUCCCUGGGCUCAACCUAGGAAUUGCGCUUGUGACUGGCGGGCUCGAGUACGGUAGAGGGGGGUGGAAUUCCUGGUGUAGCAGUGAAAUGCGUAGAGAUCAGGAGGAACACCGAUGGCGAAGGCAGCCCCCUGGGCCUGUACUGACGCUCAUGCACGAAAGCGUGGGGAGCAAACAGGAUUAGAUGCCCUGGUAGUCCACGCCCAAAACGAUGGGUACUAGCCGUUUGGUGCGCGAUAGCGCUGAGUGGCGAAGCUAACGCGUGAAGUACCCCGCCUGGGGAGUACGGCCGCAAGGUUGAAACUUAAAGGAAUUGGCGGG
RNAcentral lists this ribosomal RNA (410 nucleotides) under uncultured microorganism. Its description in RNAcentral is "bacterial SSU rRNA". It matches the Rfam family "Bacterial small subunit ribosomal RNA", at positions 509 to 917 of the family's 1533-position model. The record is from RNAcentral.